UAAAUCCCAACUACAGGAUUUA
RNAcentral lists this non-coding RNA (22 nucleotides) under Arabidopsis thaliana (thale cress). The record is from RNAcentral. Lineage: Eukaryota; Viridiplantae; Streptophyta; Magnoliopsida; Brassicales; Brassicaceae.